RNAcentral lists this ribosomal RNA (467 nucleotides) under uncultured bacterium. RNAcentral describes it as "partial 16S ribosomal RNA". It matches the Rfam family "Bacterial small subunit ribosomal RNA", at positions 28 to 507 of the family's 1533-position model. The record is from RNAcentral.
GACGAACGCUGGCGGCGUGCUUAACACAUGCAAGUCGAACGGAAAGGCCUCUUUCGGGGGGUACUCGAGUGGCGAACGGGUGAGUAACACGUGAGUAACCUGCCCUUGACUUUGGGAUAACUUCAGGAAACUGGGGCUAAUACCGGAUAGGAGCUCCUGCUGCAUGGUGGGGGUUGGAAAGUUUCGGCGGUUGGGGAUGGACUCGCGGCCUAUCAGCUUGUUGGUGGGGUAGUGGCUUACCAAGGCUUUGACGGGUAGCCGGCCUGAGAGGGUGACCGGCCACAUUGGGACUGAGAUACGGCCCAGACGCCUACGGGAGGCAGCAGUGGGGAAUAUUGCACAAUGGGUGGAAGCCUGAUGCAGCAACGCCGUGUGCGGGAGGACGGCCUUCGGGUUGUAAACCGCUUUCGCUCAUGACGAAGCUUUGUGUGACGGUAGUGGGUAAAGAAGCACCGGCUAACUACGUG